GUUGAAUAUGAUGAUUCUACACGCCAUGUUGUCACUGCUCUACUUCGGAAUUGCAGUUAUGAAGUUAUCGAAAUAGCAAAUGGAUUACAAGCAUGGAAGAUACUAGAAGAUUUGACCAAUCACAUUGACGUUGUCUUAACUGAGGUAGUCCUGCCUCAAUUAUCUGGAAUUGGUCUUUUAUGCAAAAUUAUGAGCCACAAGACACGCC
This 208-nucleotide unclassified non-coding RNA is filed under the name Hevea brasiliensis (rubber tree). Lineage: Eukaryota; Viridiplantae; Streptophyta; Magnoliopsida; Malpighiales; Euphorbiaceae. The record is from RNAcentral.